This 381-nucleotide ribosomal RNA is filed under the name uncultured marine Chaetocerotaceae. Its description in RNAcentral is "SSU rRNA". It matches the Rfam family "Eukaryotic small subunit ribosomal RNA", at positions 587 to 972 of the family's 1831-position model. Lineage: Eukaryota; Bacillariophyta; Thalassiosirophyceae; Chaetocerotales; Chaetocerotaceae. The record is from RNAcentral.
AGCUCCAAUAGCGUAUAUUAAAGUUGCUGCAGUUAAAAAGCUCGUAGUUGCAUUUCCGAGGCAAGGGAUUAGUCCGACCUUUGGUGGGUAUUUAAUCCUCUUGCCUCGUCCUUGAGUGGUGCUUCUUGGUAUUAAGUUAUCGAGGAGAUAGCCGCUCAUCGUUUACUGUGAGAAAAUUAGAGUGUUCAAAGCAGGCUUAUGCCGUUGAAUAUAUUAGCAUGGAAUAAUAAGAUAGGACCUCGGUACUAUUUGGGUGGUUUGAGAACCAAGGUAAUGAUGAAUAGGGACAGUUGGGGGUAUUCGUAUUCAGUUGUCAGAGGUGAAAUUCUUAGAUUUACGGAAGACGAACUACUGCGAAAGCAUUUACCAAGGAUGUUUUCA